GGGGAUUUAGCUCAGUGGUUCCACCACCUGCCUCACAAGCUGAGGACCCGGGUUCAAUCCCCGGUACCCCCC
RNAcentral lists this transfer RNA (72 nucleotides) under Heterocephalus glaber (naked mole-rat). It matches the Rfam family "tRNA". From Rfam's summary of the family: Transfer RNA (tRNA) molecules are approximately 80 nucleotides in length. Their secondary structure includes four short double-helical elements and three loops (D, anti-codon, and T loops). Lineage: Eukaryota; Metazoa; Chordata; Mammalia; Rodentia; Bathyergidae. The record is from Rfam by way of RNAcentral.